RNAcentral lists this ribosomal RNA (553 nucleotides) under uncultured archaeon. Its description in RNAcentral is "bacterial SSU rRNA". It matches the Rfam family "Archaeal small subunit ribosomal RNA", at positions 321 to 879 of the family's 1478-position model. The record is from RNAcentral.
CCCUACGGGGCGCAGCAGGCGCGAAACCUCCGCAAUACACGCAAGUGUGACGGGGCUACCCAAAGUGCUCCAUAUAGGAGCUGUGGUAGAUGGCUAGUGUUCUCUACUAGAAAGGAGAGGGCAAGGCUGGUGCCAGCCGCCGCGGUAAAACCAGCUCUUCAAGUGGUCGGGAUAAUUAUUGGGCUUAAAGUGUCCGUAGCUGGUAAGGUAAGUUCCUGGUAAAAUGGGGCAGCUUAACUGUCUUUAUGCUAGGAAUACUGCUUUACUAGAGGGCGGGAGAGGUCUGAGGUACUACAGGGGUAGGGGUGAAAUCUUAUAAUCCUUGUAGGACCACCAGUGGCGAAAGCGUCAGACUGGAACGCGCCUGACAGUGAGGGACGAAAGCCAGGGGAGCGAACCGGAUUAGAUACCCGGGUAGUCCUGGCCGUAAACGAUGCACACUAGAUGAUGGUGCGGCCAUGAGCCGUAUCAGUGUCGUAGGGAAACCGUUAAGUGUGCCGCCUGGGAAGUACGGUCGCAAGGCUUAAACUUAAAGGAAUUGGCGGGGGAGCAC